CACAUGCAGUCGAGCGCCCCGCAAGGGGAGCGGCAGACGGGUGAGUAACGCGUGGGAACGUACCUUUUGCUACGGAAUAACUCAGGGAAACUUGUGCUAAUACCGUAUGUGCCCUUCGGGGGAAAGAUUUAUCGGCAAAGGAUCGGCCCGCGUUGGAUUAGCUAGUUGGUGAGGUAAAGGCUCACCAAGGCGACGAUCCAUAGCUGGUCUGAGAGGAUGAUCAGCCACACUGGGACUGAGACACGGCCCAGACUCCUACGGGAGGCAGCAGUGGGGAAUAUUGGACAAUGGGCGCAAGCCUGAUCCAGCCAUGCCGCGUGAGUGAUGAAGGCCCUAGGGUUGUAAAGCUCUUUCACCGGUGAAGAUAAUGACGGUAACCGGAGAAGAAGCCCCGGCUAACUUCGUGCCAGCAGCCGCGGUAAUACGAAGGGGGCUAGCGUUGUUCGGAUUUACUGGGCGUAAAGCGCACGUAGGCGGACUUUUAAGUCAGGGGUGAAAUCCCGGGGCUCAACCCCGGAACUGCCUUUGAUACUGGAAGUCUUGAGUAUGGUAGAGGUGAGUGGAAUUCCGAGUGUAGAGGUGAAAUUCGUAGAUAUUCGGAGG
Molecule: ribosomal RNA, 603 nt
Filed under: bacterium enrichment culture clone Ean5
Lineage: Bacteria
Description: bacterial SSU rRNA
Rfam family: Bacterial small subunit ribosomal RNA
Source: RNAcentral